Arachis ipaensis is the source of this 927-nucleotide long non-coding RNA. RefSeq lists it as uncharacterized. The record is from RefSeq and is a predicted model, not a curated record. NCBI's taxonomy places the organism in Eukaryota, Viridiplantae, Streptophyta, Magnoliopsida, Fabales, Fabaceae.
GAGCGGUUUGAUGACCGGUUCGGUUUUCAGAACCUUGCUUCUCUUUGCUGCUGCUCACGGUGGUCCAACCGUUUUCUCCGCUGCUUCUUCUUCUUCUUCAAUAUUUCUGCGUUUUCGUCUGUUCGUCUUCGAAUCUCAAAAUUUAGAUGGCUCAGCAGGUACAAGAACUUACAGUGAUAGCCCCUGAUCAAAAUAUGGUACAUUAUAGGGUUACUCGUGAUACCACAGUUGCUAUUGUAAGAUCCGUAGUAGCUUGUUUAAGGGGUUUCGGAGAGGCAGAAGUGGAAGCAAUGCUGAGCGUGGGCCCAGAUUAUAUACCUGUUCCGGACCAUCUGCAUCUGUGGGAGCCGGCAACAAGUCAAUGUACUCUGGUUUUCCAGCAGCCGGGACGCAUCCCCCCGAUUCGUGGACAAUGGUGAUGAUGCCGAUGGUGACCAGAAGAGGGCAAAGGUUGUUUUUGUCCAUGGAGGCGAGGCGUUCAAGUCGGUGCUGUUAAGAUAGAUGAAGCAGCUGGAAGCAUGGAACAGUUGACAAUAUAAUACAUUGCAAGUUCUAGGAUCUGUCAGAUAGGUUUCUGAAUCUGCAUUCUGUAAUCAAUUUCCUGUCAAAUAUACAUUUUCAACUUUCAGAAUUCCUGUUUUCGCUGAUGUUUAGAGUUUAGCUAAACAUGAUAUGCAUAGAUUUUACAACUGAAUUUGUGUUUUAUAGUACCAACUGGUAGUUAUGGUGACAGUAAAUUUGGAGUUUGAGUUGGCCUGGUCUGAAACAUUUGAUGGUUUUGAGAGAGAACAACUUUUUGAACAACAUUAUUGGCCGUGUAACUGAUGGAAUUUAUGAAGGUACCACUGAGUUUGAAUUCUGGUUUUAUCAUUUUGAUAAAACCAACCACAGUUGAAUGCAAGAUUUGAGAUUGGAUAUUGAUCUUAA